This 580-nucleotide ribosomal RNA is filed under the name Escherichia coli. Its description in RNAcentral is "partial 23S ribosomal RNA". It matches the Rfam family "Bacterial large subunit ribosomal RNA", at positions 2259 to 2834 of the family's 2925-position model. Lineage: Bacteria; Pseudomonadati; Pseudomonadota; Gammaproteobacteria; Enterobacterales; Enterobacteriaceae. The record is from RNAcentral.
UGGUGGGUAGUUUGACUGGGGCGGUCUCCUCCUAAAGAGUAACGGAGGAGCACGAAGGUUGGCUAAUCCUGGUCGGACAUCAGGAGGUUAGUGCAAUGGCAUAAGCCAGCUUGACUGCGAGCGUGACGGCGCGAGCAGGUGCGAAAGCAGGUCAUAGUGAUCCGGUGGUUCUGAAUGGAAGGGCCAUCGCUCAACGGAUAAAAGGUACUCCGGGGAUAACAGGCUGAUACCGCCCAAGAGUUCAUAUCGACGGCGGUGUUUGGCACCUCGAUGUCGGCUCAUCACAUCCUGGGGCUGAAGUAGGUCCCAAGGGUAUGGCUGUUCGCCAUUUAAAGUGGUACGCGAGCUGGGUUUAGAACGUCGUGAGACAGUUCGGUCCCUAUCUGCCGUGGGCGCUGGAGAACUGAGGGGGGCUGCUCCUAGUACGAGAGGACCGGAGUGGACGCAUCACUGGUGUUCGGGUUGUCAUGCCAAUGGCAUUGCCCGGUAGCUAAAUGCGGAAGAGAUAAGUGCUGAAAGCAUCUAAGCACGAAACUUGCCCCGAGAUGAGUUCUCCCUGACCCUUUAAGGGUCCUGAAGG